RNAcentral lists this ribosomal RNA (589 nucleotides) under Cladosporium cladosporioides. RNAcentral describes it as "LSU rRNA". It matches the Rfam family "Eukaryotic large subunit ribosomal RNA", at positions 47 to 657 of the family's 3401-position model. The record is from RNAcentral. Lineage: Eukaryota; Fungi; Ascomycota; Dothideomycetes; Cladosporiales; Cladosporiaceae.
UAAGCGGAGGAAAAGAAACCAACAGGGAUUGCUCUAGUAACGGCGAGUGAAGCAGCAAUAGCUCAAAUUUGAAAUCUGGCGUCUUCGACGUCCGAGUUGUAAUUUGUAGAGGAUGCUUCUGAGCAACCACCGACCUAAGUUCCUUGGAACAGGACGUCAUAGAGGGUGAGAAUCCCGUAUGCGGUCGGAAAGGUGCUCUAUACGUAGCUCCUUCGACGAGUCGAGUUGUUUGGGAAUGCAGCUCUAAAUGGGAGGUAAAUUUCUUCUAAAGCUAAAUAUUGGCCAGAGACCGAUAGCGCACAAGUAGAGUGAUCGAAAGAUGAAAAGCACUUUGGAAAGAGAGUUAAAAAGCACGUGAAAUUGUUAAAAGGGAAGGGAUUGCAACCAGACUUGCUCGCGGUGUUCCGCCGGUCUUCUGACCGGUCUACUCGCCGCGUUGCAGGCCAGCAUCGUCUGGUGCCGCUGGAUAAGACUUGAGGAAUGUAGCUCCUUCGGGAGUGUUAUAGCCUCUUGUGAUGCAGCGAGCGCCGGGCGAGGUCCGCGCUUCGGCUAGGAUGCUGGCGUAAUGGUCGUAAUCCGCCCGUCUUGA